Molecule: ribosomal RNA, 253 nt
Filed under: uncultured bacterium
Lineage: Bacteria
Description: partial 16S ribosomal RNA
Rfam family: Bacterial small subunit ribosomal RNA
Source: RNAcentral
UACGGGGGGGACAAGCGUUGUUCGGAUUUAUUGGGCGUAAAGGGCGUGUAGGCGGGCGCACAAGUCGGAUGUGAAAACCACGGGCUUAACCCGUGGCCUGCAUUCGAUACUGUGUGUCUUGAGUAUCGGAGAGGAGUGUGGAAUUCCAGGUGUAGCGGUGAAAUGCGUAGAUAUCUGGAAGAACACCGAUGGCGAAGGCAGCACUCUGGACGAAUACUGACGCUGAAACGCGAAGGCUUGGGGAGCAAACAGG